GUGCCCAGCAGCCGCCGGUAAUAACGAGGGGUGCGAGGCGUUAAUCAGAAUUACUGGGCGUAAAGCGUACGCAGGCCGGUUUGUUAAGCGAGAUGUGAAAGCCCCGGGCUCAACCUGGGAAACUGCAUUUCGAACUGGCAAACUAGAGUGUGAUAGAGGGUGGUAGAAUUUCAGGUGUAGCGGUGAAAUGCGUAGAGAUCUGAAGGAAUACCGAUGGCGAAGGCAGCCACCUGGGUCAACACUGACGCUCAUGUACGAAAGCGUGGGGGAGCAAACGGGAUUAGAUACCCCGGUAGUCC
RNAcentral lists this ribosomal RNA (299 nucleotides) under uncultured microorganism. Its description in RNAcentral is "partial 16S ribosomal RNA". It matches the Rfam family "Bacterial small subunit ribosomal RNA", at positions 505 to 796 of the family's 1533-position model. The record is from RNAcentral.